Molecule: long non-coding RNA, 1030 nt
Organism: Ailuropoda melanoleuca (giant panda)
Lineage: Eukaryota; Metazoa; Chordata; Mammalia; Carnivora; Ursidae
Exons: 3
Source: RefSeq, a predicted model, not a curated record
UUUGUGCGUUCAUAGACCUUCGUUAAGGGACUACACGUCCCAUGAAACCCUGCAGUAUAAGUUUGAAGUAUUAUUGCUGGGCCUUCUGUAAUUGUCUCGGGGCCAGUGGCGCAAUGGAUAACGCGUCUGACUACGGAUCAGAAGAUUCCAGGUUCGACUCCUGGCUGGCUCGCACUUUCCUGUGACUUCUAAAAACAGCAGGUACUGUGGGUCUGCCUGUAGGAGCCGGAGAGAAGCAGAAGCGAAGGAGCUCCUUGGAAAGGACUUGGCCGGAAGCAUAAAGUCAGAGUUGGUGAAGUCUGUCUUCUGUUCGGCCUCCGUCUGCUCUGCCCUCCGUGCUGAACUCUUGCGCUCAGAAGCAUGAGCCAGAGACCAACAGGCAGAACCUUGGCAACUUUCUGGAAAGGAAAGAGUAUCCCCUCGCAGAUGAUUCUCCCCUUGCCCCUCUACCCCUCCCCUCACAUUCCUCACCUCCAGGCCCAGUUCUUUAACCGGAUCCUGUUUUUGUGACCUUGUUCAAACACCUCCAGCCCACUGUAAACACUCCCUUCAUCCCUGGUGCUCGGCUCCUCCCUCAGCACUUGCCUCCCUCCUCAGCACCCCUUCACUCACCCCUGUGCCUGCCCAGCCAGCUAGACUCUUCAACACCAAAAUAAUGGCCCGUUUGACCCUCCUACUGCUCCAAAUUGCUUCUGUACAAUCAAGGCUGUCCUGCAGCUACCGAAGUGGCAGAAUUACUGAGGCAAGAUAAUCGCUGCCGAUUUGCAUUCUCUUCCUUGUCAGCUCUAUUAUACAGUGUUUGUCUGUCAGAAUGAAUAGAAAGUAGAAACUGUUCUGGAACACAGAAAAAGAUGGAAAACUACCCGAUUUGUUUAUGAAGCUGAAUAUCAAAACCUGUCAGAAAUAGCAUCCCCCCCCCAAAAAACCCCUAUAGACCAAUCUCCCUUAUGACUGUAAAUGUAAAAAUCCUAAAAUAUUUAAGAUUAACACAUAAAAGUCAGCAGUAUUGUAACAUAAUAAUUACAUACUA